Long non-coding RNA from Podarcis raffonei (Aeolian wall lizard), 353 nucleotides. RefSeq lists it as uncharacterized. The record is from RefSeq and is a predicted model, not a curated record. The transcript is spliced from 2 exons. NCBI's taxonomy places the organism in Eukaryota, Metazoa, Chordata, Lepidosauria, Squamata, Lacertidae.
CGGACCUGGAAAGGAAAGCCAAAAAGGGGGAGGUGGACAUGUUGGAGGAACUGGACAUGGAGGAAAGAGUUAAUUUCCUUCAGGAGCACACAUCACUCCAAGUAUGAGAUAAGCCAGCUGCUAUGGCAAUGGACUUGUACCAUAAGUGAUUAAGGCAUGUUAGCUCAGUACAGUGUCAGUGAGUCUGUCCAUGAGUCGGAGUCCGUUUUACAUCUUUAAGCUCCAGCAAUAGAGAUAAUUUGUGCUUGUAUAUCUGUAUCUGCAAAGCCUACAAGCUGUAUGUAUACAUCAAUGUUUGGAACUGUAUUGCUGAAGCCUUAUCCUCUACAGCAGUAAACUAUUUUGGACCUUAA